Molecule: unclassified non-coding RNA, 348 nt
Filed under: uncultured fungus
Lineage: Eukaryota; Fungi
Description: partial contains 5.8S ribosomal RNA and internal transcribed spacer 2
Rfam family: 5.8S ribosomal RNA (bases 1-133)
Source: RNAcentral
UGGUUCUGGCAUCGAUGAAGAACGCAGCGAAAUGCGAUAAGUAAUGUGAAUUGCAGAAUUCAGCGAAUCAUCGAAUCUUUGAACGCACAUUGCGCCUCCGGGUAUUCCCAGAGGCAUGCCUGUUCGAGCGUCGUUUAGACCAUGAGGCUUUGCCUUGCGAUGACGUUUGGAUCGCUCGUCGAUCCAUGCGUUCAAACACGUUGGCAUCUGAAGUUGGCCGAAGCACAGCAAAAAUGUGUUGGGUCAGGAUGAAAGAUUGCCUGAGUUUUCAAGAUUGCGGAUGUUGAUUUCAGUUCAGUAUCCGGAAUCCAUACGGUCGACCUCGGAUCAAGCAAGACUACCCGCUGA